RNAcentral lists this ribosomal RNA (1476 nucleotides) under Drombus kranjiensis. RNAcentral's name for it is "partial 16S ribosomal RNA". It matches the Rfam family "Bacterial large subunit ribosomal RNA", at positions 338 to 2574 of the family's 2925-position model. Lineage: Eukaryota; Metazoa; Chordata; Actinopteri; Gobiiformes; Gobiidae. The record is from RNAcentral.
UCCCCAAAAGCUAGCCCACCCACAAAAUACAACAAACAUCAUUAAUAGACCAAAAAGCACUUAAACUACUUAAAUAAACCAUUUUUCCCCUCUAGUAUGGGAGACAGAAAAAGAGAUAUAGGAGCCAUAGAAAAAGUACCGCAAGGGAAAGCUGAAAGAGAACUGAAAAAACCCAGUUAAAGGAAACAAAAGCAGAGUUUUGACCUCGUACCUUUUGCAUCAUGAUUUAGCGAGCACACCCAAGCAAAGAGCCCUUUAGUUUGGUCCCCCGAAACUAGACGAGCUACUCCGAGACAGCCUAUUAAAGGGCGAACCCGUCUCUGUGGCAAAAGAGUGGGAAGAGCUCCGAGUAGAGGUGACAAACCUACCGAGCCUAGUUAUAGCUGGUUGCCUGGGAACUGAAUAUUAGUUCAGCCUUUUGAAGCCCUUAACCAAAAAAGAUAAAAACCGACCCCGGAUAGAGGACAGUCAAAAGAGUUAUUCAAGAGAGGGACAGCUCUCCUGAAAAAAGAUACAACUUUAAAAGAAGGUAAAGGAUCAAACAUUUCAAGAAAAACACCUAAGUGGGCCUAAAAGCAGCCACCCUGAAAGAAAGCGUUAAAGCUCAAGUGUAUAAACUCAACAAUUCCGAUAAAAACGUCCUAUGCCCCUUGCCCUACCAGGCCCACCCAUGCACCCAUGGGUAAGACAAUGCUAAAAUGAGUAAUAAAAGAGCUAAGACUCUUUCAAAAGCAUCCGUGUACAUCAAAACGAACAAGUCAUUGAAAAUUAACGCUCCCAAAACAGAGAGGGCAUUGAGCCAAAACCUCCAAAAACAAGAAAAUCCCCCAAGAAUAAAGCGUUAACCCUACACAGGAAUGCCUAACGAAAGACAAAAAGAAAAAGAAGGAACUCGGCAAACACUAGCCUCGCCUGUUUACCAAAAACAUCGCCUCUUGCCCCCCACAGUAUAAGAGGUCCCGCCUGCCCUGUGACAAAAGUUUAACGGCCGCGGUAUUUUGACCGUGCGAAGGUAGCGUAAUCACUUGUCUUUUAAAUAGAGACCUGUAUGAAUGGCACAACGAGGGCUAAGCUGUCUCCUUUUUCUAGUCAAUGAAAUUGAUCUCCCCGUGCAGAAGCGGGGAUAUUUACAUAAGACGAGAAGACCCUAUGGAGCUUAAGACACCAGAAUAGACUAAGUUACUAACCCCCAUUAAAAGGAAUAAACAAAGAAGUCUCUAUUCCCCUGUCUUCGGUUGGGGCGACCGCGGGGAAAAAACAAACCCCCACGUGGAACGGGCCAACACCCCUAAAGCUAGAGCCACAGCUCUGUCAAACAGAAUAUCUGACCAACAAUGAUCCGGCAUGGCCGAUCAACGGAUCAGUUACCCUAGGGAUAACAGCGCAAUCCUCUUCUAGAGCCCAUAUCGACAAGAGGGUUUACGACCUCGAUGUUGGAUCAGGACUUCCUAAUGGUGCAGCCGCUAUUAAGGGUUC